UGGGGGAUAUUGCACAAUGGGCGAAAGCCUGAUGCAGCGACGCCGCGUGGGGGAUGAAGGCUUUCGGGUUGUAAACCUCUUUCGCUAUCGAACAAGGCCCGCUUAGGGUGGGUUGAGGGUAGGUGGAGAAGGAGCGCCGGCUAACUACGUGCCAGCAGCCGCGGUAAUACGUAGGGCGCGAGCGUUGUCCGGAAUUAUUGGGCGUAAAGGGCUUGUAGGCGGCUUGUUGCGCCUGCUGUGAAAACGCGGGGCUUAACUUCGCGCGUGCAGUGGGUACGGGCAGGCUUGAGUGUGGUAGGGGUGACUGGAAUUCCAGGUGUAGCGGUGGAAUGCGCAGAUAUCUGGAGGAACACCGAUGGCGAAGGCAGGUCACUGGGCCAUUACUGACGCUGAGGAGCGAAAGCAUGGGUAGCGAACAGG
This 420-nucleotide ribosomal RNA is filed under the name bacterium. Its description in RNAcentral is "partial 16S ribosomal RNA". It matches the Rfam family "Bacterial small subunit ribosomal RNA", at positions 355 to 776 of the family's 1533-position model. The record is from RNAcentral.